This 1082-nucleotide long non-coding RNA is filed under the name Lepidothrix coronata (blue-crowned manakin). RNAcentral describes it as "lncRNA (ENSLCOG00000000178.1)". The record is from RNAcentral. Lineage: Eukaryota; Metazoa; Chordata; Aves; Passeriformes; Pipridae.
CUGUCUCAGAUCACCUGUCCCAGGAUCACCUGUCCCAGGAUCACCUGUCCCAGGAUCACCUGUCUCAGAUCACCUGUCCCAGAUCACCUGUCCCACAUCACCAGUCCCAGAUCACCUGUCCCAGGACACCUGUCUCAGAUCACCUGUCCCACAUCACCUGUCCCAGGAUCACCUGUCCCAGAUCACCUGUCCCAGAUCACCUGUCCCACAUCACCAGUCCCAGAUCACCAGUCCCAGAUCACCUGUCCCAGGACACCUGUCCCACAUCACCUGUCCCACAUCACCUGUCCCAGGGUCACCUGUCCCAGAUCACCUGUCCCACAUCACCAGUCCCAGAUCACCUGUCCCAGGAUCACCUGUCCCAGGAUCACCUGUCCCACAUCACCUGUCCCAGGUCCAACCCCCCCGAAAAGCAGAGCCUGGAGCAGGAGGAGAGCGAAGCCGAACUCUUGAAACACACGGACUUGGGGGGGGGGGGAAGGUGGGGCAGUUUUUGGGGGGCCGGAGGGUCCCCCGGCAGUGCCGGUGCCAGGACGGACGGAUGGGGGGGGUCAGGAGUCCGGAAAGGGGGAUUUGGGGGGUCAGUGCAGCCGAGGAGCCAUAAAGUGCAGCAAAGCUUCCCGGAGCUCCGGGGGGCCGGGGGGGCCCGGCUCGGGCGGCUCCGGGUGCCCGGGGGGGCUCCAGUGUCCGGGGGGGCCGGGACACGCCGGGAUGGGGGGACAGGCACAGUCCGGGGGGACACGGCGGGGCCGGGGCAGCGGGGCCGGAGCCCAGCCUGGAUCCGCUCCUGCUUCGGGGCCGUUCCCGCUCCUUUCCCGGGUCUGUUCCUCGGCUCUAGGGCCGAUCCCGGCCCCGUUCCCGGGCCCGUUCCCGCUUUGGGGCCGCUCCCACUCCCUGCCCUGCUCCCAGUCCUGUUCCUGCUUUGGGGCCGGUUCUGUUCCCGGCUCCAUUCCCAGUUCGUGGCUGGUUUCAGGGCCGGUUCCGGCGCUGGUUCAGUUCCCAGUCCCGGUGCUGGUUCCAUUCCCAGUCCCCGUGCUGGUUCCAUUCCCAGUCCAAGUGCUGGUUCCAUUCCCAGUCCCAGU